AGUAUCUUCCAUACCUGGAAUGGAUACAUCGGUCCCUUCAAGAACUCCAUCCAUCGCCUAUUCAACGGAAAAAAGGAUUCCAUCAGUAUCGAUUCUAUACGCAACGAAGAGAAGACAUCGGCGUUUUGCGCAAUCUCUUCUAUGCAAAUAAGGUGAAAGGUAUUCCAACGGAGAUUCAAACCUAUCUCAUGGAUCCGCUCACCCUCGCCGUCUGGUAUCAAGAUGAUGGAACUCUAGACUUCCGACGUGGCUAUCAUGCCAACGCAUUGUUUGCAACUCACUGCUUCACGCAGAAUGAAUGUCAAUUAUUGGCGAAUGCACUAAGCAUGAACUUCGAACUGGACAUUCGCGUCUGUCGAUGUCUCAUGCGAGGAAAACUUUAUUUCCGUCUGUAUGUCUGCUCAAAAAGCAUGGACAGGUUCAUGCACAUUAUUGAGCCAUACAUCCAGCCGUGCUUUCACUAUAAGCUAGUGAAAUUUCGCGCAAUCUAGCCAGCAGCAGCGGUAAUACAGAGACCUCAAGCGUUAUCCGGAUUUAUUGGGCGUAAAGGGUCCGUAGGUGGUUUUUUUAGUCAUUCGUUAAAUCUUCAGGCUUAACCUGAAGGCCGCGGGUGAUACUGGAAAACUAGAGGAUGGGAGAGGCAGAUGGAAUUGCUGGUGUAGCGGUAAAAUGCGUUAAUAUCAGCAAGAACACCAAAGGCGAAAGCAAUCUGCUGGAACAUUCCUGACACUGAGGGACGAAAGCGUGGGUAGCGAAUGGGAUUAGAUACCCCAGUAGUCCACGCCGUAAACGAUGAGUGCUAGAUUUUGGGGGUAUCGACCCCCCCAGAGUCGACGAACCUAGUUAACACAUUAAGCACUCCGCCUGGGUAGUACGAGCGCAAGCUUAAAACCUAAAGGAAUAGACGGGGACCCGCACAAGCGGUGGAGCGUGUGGUUUAAUUCGACAGUAAGCGAGGAACCUUACCUGGGCUUAAAGUCUGGCUGCAAGCCGUCCGAAAGGAUGGCCGCCUUCGAGGGUGCCAGAAAUGGUGCUGCAUGGUUGUCGUCAGCUCGUGGCGUGAGCUGUUCCCUUAAGUGGGGUAACGAGCGCAACCCCUGUCCUGCGUUAUACUUUCGCAGGAGACUGCCUUCGUAAGAAGGAGGAAGGUGGGGAUGACGUCAAAUCAGCAUGGCCCUUACGUCCAGGGCGACACACGCGCUACAAUGGCCAGUACAAUGGGUUGCCAAACCGCGAGGUGGAGCUAAUCCCAAAAAGCUGGUCGUAGUUCAGAUUGGAGUCUGCAAUUCGACUCCAUGAAGCUGGAAUCGCUAGUAACGGCCAAUCAGCCACGUGGCCGUGAAUACGUUCUCGGGUCUUGUACUCACCGCCCGUCACGUCAAGAGAGCUGGUAACACCCGAACGUCGCCGUAGGGCGGCGGAAGGUGGGACUGGUAAUAGGGACGAAGUCGUAACAAGGCACCCGUAGCGGAAGCUGUGGGUG
This 1483-nucleotide ribosomal RNA is filed under the name groundwater metagenome. RNAcentral describes it as "bacterial SSU rRNA". The stretch from base 317 to 1483 matches the Rfam family "Bacterial small subunit ribosomal RNA". The record is from RNAcentral.